This 487-nucleotide unclassified non-coding RNA is filed under the name Hevea brasiliensis (rubber tree). Lineage: Eukaryota; Viridiplantae; Streptophyta; Magnoliopsida; Malpighiales; Euphorbiaceae. The record is from RNAcentral.
GGGCAAUAUUACAAUCACUUCCCAAGGCAUGCUGUUUUUAGCAUGACAAAGAUUGAAAAAAAGAACUAAGCUUUACAGAUAUAAACAACACACACACAUGAAGAAAUAUAAUUAGAAGUUAAAAGAAAAAACUUGACCCUUCUUACAUUUUUUUUAUUAACAGAUAUUAUACCUGUAUAAAAGUUAAAUUAAGGUGAGAAUAAACUACAACCUUCCACCAUUUAAACCAACUAGAAAAAAACUUACCAAAGUCAAGUUCCAGAUAGGAGCAUACGCUAUACAUAUGUACAAGUUGAUUACAUAACUUAUGUGCAGUCUGAUUCAGGUCCAAAAAGAUCGAUGAUGUUACCACGUACCAAAGCUGCAACCUACAUGCUCUUGGGUGAUAAUGUGAAGUCGAUCUUGCAUGGCAUCCAUGGAUGGAUAAGGAGGAAAGCAUAGGCGGAAGAAGCACGUGUGUGAAGAAGGCAAACGAUCAUUUGACUCU